UUAACUAAAGCCAAAUAGAGGCAGGUCAUUGUUACUGACCUCACUGGGUCCCCCUAGUUAGU
This 62-nucleotide transfer RNA is filed under the name Crypturopus tuberculatus. RNAcentral describes it as "tRNA-Asn". The record is from RNAcentral. Lineage: Eukaryota; Metazoa; Arthropoda; Malacostraca; Amphipoda; Micruropodidae.